AGGUGAGGUUGCGGAUGAAACAAAAGAUUCACCGCCACUUAACAAAUUUGAAAUAAGUGAGGAAGUUCACAGUGCUGUUGCCGAUGGAGCAAAAGUUUCACAACCAAUCAACACAUUGGAAAUGAGUGAGGAACUUAACAUUUCAGGUGAAGUUGCCGAUGUAACA
This is a long non-coding RNA of Lytechinus variegatus (green sea urchin), 166 nucleotides long. RefSeq lists it as uncharacterized. The transcript is spliced from 3 exons. The record is from RefSeq and is a predicted model, not a curated record. NCBI's taxonomy places the organism in Eukaryota, Metazoa, Echinodermata, Echinoidea, Temnopleuroida, Toxopneustidae.